ACUCCUACGGGGAGGCAGCAGUGGGGAAUAUUGCACAAUGGGGGAAACCCUGAUGCAGCCAUGCCGCGUGUGUGAAGAAGGCCUUCGGGUUGUAAAGCACUUUCAGUAGGGAGGAAGGUAGUGUAGUUAACACCUGCAUUAUUUGUACGUUACCUACAGAAGAAGCACCGGCUAACUCCGUGCCAGCAGCCGCGGUAAGUACGGAGGGUGCGAGCGUUAAUCGGAAUUACUGGGCGUAAAGCGCAUGCAGGCGGCCUGUUAAGUCAGAUGUGAAAGCCCGGGGUCUUAACCUCGGAAUUGCAUUUGAAACUGGCAGGCUAGAGUCUUGUAGAGGGGGUUAGAAUUUCAGGUGUAGCGGUGAAAUGCGUAGAGAUCUGAAGGAAUACCGAGU
This 391-nucleotide ribosomal RNA is filed under the name uncultured bacterium. RNAcentral's name for it is "bacterial SSU rRNA". It matches the Rfam family "Bacterial small subunit ribosomal RNA", at positions 335 to 714 of the family's 1533-position model. The record is from RNAcentral.